Molecule: RNA transcript, 2338 nt
Organism: Papaver somniferum (opium poppy)
Lineage: Eukaryota; Viridiplantae; Streptophyta; Magnoliopsida; Ranunculales; Papaveraceae
Exons: 6
Source: RefSeq, a predicted model, not a curated record
GAUUCCCCCCACCCCAACAAAAUCCUUUCUAUUUUCAGAAGAUUUCUUCGGAAACCCAUCGGAGAUUCACUAACCCUUUCCUUGAAUUCAAGUAAUUUGGGUUUUGUUUUUCUUCAAAUGGCAGAAUUAGAACAAAGUAAAAUCAUUGAUAAAGAUGUGAUUUUUGCUGUUAAUGAAUGUGACUGGAAGGUGUCAAUGACUACUACCUUGAAGACUUGGAGGGAAGUGUUAGACAUUAAUACUCAACUGGCUGAGGGUUUAAAACCAGAAUGUCUGCUGAAAUUGUAUGACCUGCUCAUCAGUUUGUCUGUGGACUCGUUAUCACGGUGUCCUGGUGAAAACUUUACCGAUAUACGUAAAAUGUCCAAUUUUCUCUUUGAAGAACUUUCAGGGAGGCUCGAACAUUUAUUUUCUAAUGUUGGGCAGCAUAUACUAUGUUCGGAUUCAUGGGGUCUUUUACAGGAGUUAACUCUUUUGUUAAGAUGUUGUAUUUCUAUGUUGCACUUGCUUGAGUUCGACCUAAGUCUCCUCAUUGAAAAGUGUCAAAUUCUCCUAAGUAUACUCAGAAUAUUAUGUUCUCCGGAGAUAGCAUCCACGGCAGGAAGAAAGGGGAAAAGUGUUUGUAUCACCUCUGUGUCCUGUGCAUUUUUUCCUGUCCUGCACUCAAUCAUCGAGGUGUUCAUCAAUGAAUUUCUAGUGCACAAGAAAUUAGGAGAUUACUUUACGACGUUAGAGACUGUCUCUUCUACAAGUGAUAACCUAUUUAGGGAUCCAUUGAAUCAAGGUUCAGGAGAUGUUGUGUUGGAGUUGAUUUCUUCUCAUUUUCUUCUAUCAAUUUCUGAUGAGCCAACCUUCAAGAACUCCUUGGAACCAUUCCUUCUGCUGUGUGAUGAAAAGCCCCCUUUCCUUGACCUAAUAAGCCUAAAUGCAGCUAUGCAAUUACUUUCAACAAUCGUCAUAUAUUCUCCACCACAAAUUUUACAAGCGCAUAUGAUUUCCUUGGUUUCUAGAUGCAGUAGCAUUAGCAUGGCUUCAUAUAAUCAAGCAUCAGAUCCAAGACUAGUGAACUGGUACAUAUCAGCGUUUGAAAUAUCAGUGGACUUGUAUUCCCAAAACAUGUCAAGUUUACAAUUGGGGGAUACUCAUGGAGAACCUAAAAGUGGGUUUGGUUGCAGUGAUAAACAAUGUACGGCAGGAGGAUUAUCACAUCUAUCAUUUGAAUCUCAUAUUCGGCGGGUCAUGUAUAGUCAACUGAAAGUUCACACAACUAACUUUCCUACGUCUGUUCAUCUUUUGCCGUUGAAAACGAAGUCUGAUUAUAAGAAUGCUUGUAUUGCAUAUAUGAAGGAGAAUCAAAAUAUUCUUAACGUGUCAUCCAGAGACGAAAGUUUCUCUGUUUUGAGUAACAUUAUAUCAAGGAUCCUUUCUGGAGAUAUUGGGACUAGUAAACUGUGGGAAAAAGGAAACAUAAGUCAGCAGAAAAUGUAUCUUUUGGCUUCCAUAGUAAACUUGAUGAGUAGUUCACUGUUGCAAACAAUCUGGACAAUGCAAAAAGGAAGUUUGGGUAAUGCUGAAAUGCGAAAACGUUAUUCUCAGUGUAAGGAGUACGAUAUGAUCAUAAGCAAGAUUAGCUGUUUCCAGCAGUGUAGCAUUACCCCACAAUCAAUUUGUACCCUAGUAGCGGAUAUGAUGGCACAUUACCCUGCAAGGCAUAAGCACUCGAAAAUGAUGUUUAUGCACUUUGCAAGCUUGCUAUUGUUUAGUUUUGAAGCUGGGCUUGAGUUCUUAAGCAAGAGUUGUAUACUUAUGCUGAUGACAUUGAUGAAUCUAUUUAAUCUUGAAAAGGGUAAUCUGGAUGCACUGAAACAUCUUGAAGUCGAAUCUUUAUCAUCUCCAUGUUCAAAUAAAUUAUUGGUGGUAACAUCUUCUUCUUUAUUGAAGUCGCUAGGGCUAUAUGCCCGUGCAUUGCAGAGGCUAGAUUUCUGAAUUCUGCGAUUCCGCAUGUCAGUUCACAACAUUUGGAUUUUGGUGAUAAGGAUGUGGAGACAAAUUCUCAGUUUCGUUCUAGGACAAAUUAAUCAAUUCAACCAGAAGCUUCAAGAAGUUCCCUGAUCAGUGAUGGUGUAGAACAGUUUGCUCUUAUCACAAAGGAGAAAACUAGAAUCGAUUAUAUGUGUGGCGGCGAGAAUUGUUUGAAACAUAUACUAGGUAAAGAUAGACCGCCAGAUGAUGAUGAGUUGGCUGAUUUUGUUCAGUGCAAGGAAAAGAUUAUUCGAAAUAGCUGAGAGAUUGAAAGAAGUAUCGAAAUUAUGCAUGGGACAAAAAGGCAGGCAACAGC